AGCAGUGGGGAAUAUUGGACAAUGGGCGAAAGCCUGAUCCAGCCAUGCCGCGUGUGUGAAGAAGGUCUUCGGAUUGUAAAGCACUUUAAGUUGGGAGGAAGGGCAGUAAAUUAAUACUUUGCUGUUUUGACGUUACCGACAGAAUAAGCACCGGCUAACUCUGUGCCAGCAGCCGCGGUAAUACAGAGGGUGCGAGCGUUAAUCGGAAUUACUGGGCGUAAAGCGCGCGUAGGUGGUUCGUUAAGUUGGAUGUGAAAUCCCCGGGCUCAACCUGGGAACUGCAUUCAAAACUGACGAGCUAGAGUAUGGUAGAGGGUGGUGGAAUUUCCUGUGUAGCGGUGAAAUGCGUAGAUAUAGGAAGGAACACCAGUGGCGAAGGCGACCACCUGGACUGAUACUGACACUGAGG
RNAcentral lists this ribosomal RNA (409 nucleotides) under uncultured bacterium. Its description in RNAcentral is "bacterial SSU rRNA". It matches the Rfam family "Bacterial small subunit ribosomal RNA", at positions 350 to 751 of the family's 1533-position model. The record is from RNAcentral.